RNAcentral lists this ribosomal RNA (440 nucleotides) under uncultured bacterium. RNAcentral describes it as "partial 16S ribosomal RNA". It matches the Rfam family "Bacterial small subunit ribosomal RNA", at positions 338 to 795 of the family's 1533-position model. The record is from RNAcentral.
CCUACGGGAGGCAGCAGUGGGGAAUAUUGCACAAUGGGGGAAACCCUGAUGCAGCGACGCCGCGUGAGUGAAGACGUAAUUCGUUAUGGAAAGCUCUAUUAGUAGGGAAGUAAAGGACGGUACCUGAGUAGGAAGCCCCGGCUAACUACGUGCCAGCAGCCGUGGUAAUACGUAGGGGGCAAGCGUUAUCCGGAUGUACUGGGUGUAAAGGGAGCGUAGGCGGCAUUGCAAGUCUGCAGUGAAAGUCGGGGGCUCAACCCGGGGCCUGCAGGGGAAACCGUACGGCUGGAGUGCGCGAAAGGUAGGAGGAAUGCGUGGUGUAGCGGUGAAAUGCGGAGAUAUGACGAAGAACCCAGAGGGAGAAGGCAGCUUGCUGGAGCGGAACUGACGAUGAGGCUCGAAAGCGCGGGGAGCGAACAGGAGUAGAUACCCGUGUAGUC